Molecule: ribosomal RNA, 381 nt
Filed under: uncultured eukaryote
Lineage: Eukaryota
Description: SSU rRNA
Rfam family: Eukaryotic small subunit ribosomal RNA
Source: RNAcentral
AGCUCCAAUAGCGUAUAUUAAAGUUGUUGCGGUAAAAAAGCUCGUAGUUGGAUUUCUGUUGCGAAUGGCCGGUCUUCACUACGUGAAUGUAUCUGGUUCAAUCGUGGCAUCCUCAUAGGAAACGUUGCUGCGCUUCACUGCGUGGUGCGGUGCCUAUGACUUUUACUUUGAGGAAAUUAGAGUGUUCACGGCAGGCAAUCGCCCUGAAUAUGUUAGCAUGGAAUAAUAAUAUAGGAUCUUGGUUCUAUUUUGUUGGUUUCUAGAGCUAAGAUAAUGGUUAAUAGGAACAAUUGGGGGCAUUUGUAUUAACAUGUCAGAGGUGGAAUUCUUGGAUUAUGUUACGACAAACUACUGCGAAAGCAUUUGCCAAGGAUGUUUUCA